UGGAUCCAGACUUUGAUCAUGGCUCAGGACGAACGCUAGCUACAGGCUUAACACAUGCAAGUCGAGGGGAAACGAUAGAGAAAGCUUGCUUUUUCUAGGCGUCGACCGGCGCACGGGUGAGUAACGCGUAUCCAACCUGCCCACCACUUGGGAAUAACCUUGCGAAAGUAAGACUAAUACCCAAUGAUAUCUCUAGAAGACAUCUGAAAGAGAUUAAAGAUUUAUCGGUGAUGGAUGGGGAUGCGUCUGAUUAGCUUGUUGGCGGGGUAACGGCCCACCAAGGCGACGAUCAGUAGGGGUUCUGAGAGGAAGGUCCCCCACAUUGGAACUGAGACACGGUCCAAACUCCUACGGGAGGCAGCAGUGAGGAAUAUUGGUCAAUGGGCGAGAGCCUGAACCAGCCAAGUAGCGUGCAGGAUGACGGCCCUAUGGGUUGUAAACUGCUUUUAUAAGGGAAUAAAGUGAGCCUCGUGAGGCUUUUUGCAUGUACCUUAUGAAUAAGGACCGGCUAAUUCCGUGCCAGCAGCCGCGGUAAUACGGAAGGUCCGGGCGUUAUCCGGAUUUAUUGGGUUUAAAGGGAGCGUAGGCCGGAGAUUAAGCGUGUUGUGAAAUGUAGAUGCUCAACAUCUGCACUGCAGCGCGAACUGGUUUCCUUGAGUACGCACAAAGUGGGCGGAAUUCGUGGUGUAGCGGUGAAAUGCUUAGAUAUCACGAAGAACUCCGAUUGCGAAGGCAGCUCACUGGAGCGCAACUGACGCUGAAGCUCGAAAGUGCGGGUAUCGAACAGGAUUAGAUACCCUGGUAGUCCGCACGGUAAACGAUGGAUGCCCGCUGUUGGUCUGAAUAGGUCAGCGGCCAAGCGAAAGCAUUAAGCAUCCCACCUGGGGAGUACGCCGGCAACGGUGCAACUCAAAGGAAUUGACGGA
Molecule: ribosomal RNA, 926 nt
Filed under: uncultured bacterium
Lineage: Bacteria
Also listed under: 1 other name
Description: bacterial SSU rRNA
Rfam family: Bacterial small subunit ribosomal RNA
Source: RNAcentral